GUUCAACGGCCGCGGUAUCCUAACCGUGCGAAGGUAGCGUAAUCACUUGUUCUUUAAAUGAGGACUAGUAUGAAUGGCACCACGAAGGUUAUACUGUCUCCUUUUUCUAAUCAAUGAAACUGAUUUUCCCGUGAAGAAGCGGGGAUAAAAAUAUAAGACGAGAAGACCCUAUGGAGCUUUAAACUAUAUUACACUGGCUUAUACCCCCCAUACAUUUCAGAAUUACAAUACCCAUUCUAGCCUUCAUGUCUAUUAGUUUUAGGUUGGGGUGACCGCGGAGUAAAAAUUAACCUCCACAUUGAACGGAACUUAUUCCUGAGCCAAAAGCUACAACUUCAAGCACCAACAAAAUGACAUUAAUUGACCCAAUACUUUGAUCAACGAACCAAGUUACCCUAGGGAUAACAGCGCAAUCCAUUUCAAGAGAUCCUAUCGACAAAUGGGUUUACGACCUCGAUGUUGGAUCAGGGUAUCCCAGUGGUGCAGCCGCUACUAAAGGUUCGUUUGUUCAACGAUUAAAACCC
RNAcentral lists this ribosomal RNA (524 nucleotides) under Dendropsophus microps (Nova Friburgo treefrog). RNAcentral describes it as "partial 16S ribosomal RNA". It matches the Rfam family "Bacterial large subunit ribosomal RNA", at positions 1922 to 2596 of the family's 2925-position model. The record is from RNAcentral. Lineage: Eukaryota; Metazoa; Chordata; Amphibia; Anura; Hylidae.